This is a long non-coding RNA of Dreissena polymorpha, 1142 nucleotides long. RefSeq lists it as uncharacterized. The transcript is spliced from 2 exons. NCBI's taxonomy places the organism in Eukaryota, Metazoa, Mollusca, Bivalvia, Myida, Dreissenidae. The record is from RefSeq and is a predicted model, not a curated record.
UGGAGAUAUUAAUAAGCUUGAAUGUAGUAUCGGAAGUUUAUAAUGCAUGGCUAGGGAACUGAGGCUAAGGGAGUUAUGUGCUGUGCAUGAUGAGAACUCAAUGCUCAUUAAUGCUGUUAAUGUUUAUAAAUAAAUUAAUUAAACCAAUAGCAUUGUUUUUUAGGUUUCACUGUACAUUUUCAUACCAAUAGAAUUACACAUCAUUCUAAUUAUAGCAAUAAUAAAUUUGUACUAAUCAUACCUACAAAUUUUGUUAUGCUAUGCUUUGUGAUGUAUUAACUUCAUUGUAAGUUAUUAUUUAAAGACAAUUUUACUAAAUAUUUAAAACAAUACUUGAAUUAUUUUCUAUAUACAUUUUCAUUAUGUGCUUUAACUGUAGCUGACCAGUUGAUGGAAGAUACUGCAGAGUUUGGCAGGGAAAUAACCCAAGACAGCAAAGCGGCUCUUUUGGCGCAUUUACCAAGAGGACUAACAUGGCCACAAAUUCAUGAGAUCAUGCAGGAGCCGUACAGUAUAACAGCAGUACAAGUUCUAUAAAAGAUCCGCGACCUACUGAAGCCCAGCUAAUUAACAAAAAAGUUUUUAAAAACUGAAAUUUUAUCCCACCUGGGUACUUAUAAUUUACUAACUGUCACUUGGAAAGUAAUACAUGUACAUGCAUUCAUGUUCUGAAUUUCUUUGAACAAUAAAAUUAUAUAAAAGUAUUUUAAUGAAAUUGAGCACCUAAAUUGCAUUAAAGUGAAAGUAGCUGAGAAAAAUAGUAUCCUUAAUUGUUCUCAUGGGCAGCUACAUAUAUUGUGACAAACAUGAAGUAGCUAAAAUAACUUAAAUUUUUCAUUUUGUUUCUUGUAUAUCGUUUGUACAGGGUUCGUGAAUUGUUACUGUAUAUUACUUGACUUGCUUGUAUUUUGUUACUUUGAAUACAUGUUGUUAAGGUUGCAUUAUACUUUUUAACUUUUAAAGUAGCGCCUGUUCUGUUAUGUAAGGGCCUGAUUUAUGAUAAUGGACCUAGAGGCUUUGUAAGCAUGUAUUAAACAACACUUGUUUGAUCUGAAUAAUUUGUUAAAUAAAUGUAACACAAUUUGUAAUCUGAUGUUAUAUUUUGAUGAAUUGUGAACAAAAUAAUACAUCGAAGAAACUAA